Molecule: long non-coding RNA, 216 nt
Organism: Perca flavescens (yellow perch)
Lineage: Eukaryota; Metazoa; Chordata; Actinopteri; Perciformes; Percidae
Exons: 3
Source: RefSeq, a predicted model, not a curated record
AGAGGUUGCUGUCAAAUACUUUUCCAGAAGAUGGAACUGGCCACGCCUGGCUUAAGCUGGAGAGCGGGGGCUGUCCAUGGUGCUGAAAGAGGAGGUUGCUGUCAAAUACUUUUCCAGAAGAUGGAACUGGCCACGCCUGGCUUAAGCUGGAGAGCGGGGGCUGUCCAUGGUGCUGAAAGAGGAGGUUGCUGUCAAAUACUUUUCCAGAAGAUGAAC